This 61-nucleotide transfer RNA is filed under the name Cyphonia clavata. RNAcentral describes it as "tRNA-His". The record is from RNAcentral. Lineage: Eukaryota; Metazoa; Arthropoda; Insecta; Hemiptera; Membracidae.
AUUCAAGUAGUUUAUUUAAAAUAACAAUUUGUGGUGUUGCAGAUAUUUAUAAUCUUGAGUG